Molecule: ribosomal RNA, 266 nt
Filed under: uncultured Planctomycetota bacterium
Lineage: Bacteria; Pseudomonadati; Planctomycetota
Description: uncultured planctomycete partial 16S ribosomal RNA
Rfam family: Bacterial small subunit ribosomal RNA
Source: RNAcentral
GAGCACGUAGGUGGGUUUGUAAGUCAGACGUGAAAGCCUUCUGUUCAACGGAAGAAUUGCAUCUGAAACUACAAACCUUGAGUGUGGGAGGGGAGAAUGGAACUUCUGGUGGAGCGGUGAAAUGCGUAGAUAUCAGAAGGAACGCCGGCGGCGAAAGCGAUUCUCUGGCCUAUUACUGACACUCAGUGUGCGAAAGCUAGGGGAGCAAACGGGAUUAGAUACCCCGGUAGUCCUAGCCGUAAACGAUGGGCACUAAGUAGAGGGGU